GUGGCGAACGGGUGAGUAACACGUGAGUAACCUGCCCAUCACUCUGGGAUAAGCGCUGGAAACGGCGUCUAAUACUGGAUACGAGCAGCGACCGCAUGGUCAGUUGCUGGAAAGACUGGUUUGGUGAUGGAUGGACUCGCGGCCUAUCAGCUUGUUGGUGAGGUAAUGGCUCACCAAGGCGACGACGGGUAGCCGGCCUGAGAGGGUGACCGGCCACACUGGGACUGAGACACGGCCCAGACUCCUACGGGAGGCAGCAGUGGGGAAUAUUGCACAAUGGGCGCAAGCCUGAUGCAGCAACGCCGCGUGAGGGAUGACGGCCUUCGGGUUGUAAACCUCUUUUAGUAGGGAAGAAGCCUUCGGGUGACGGUACCUGCAGAAAAAGCACCGGCUAACUACGUGCCAGCAGCCGCGGUAAUACGUAGGGUGCAAGCGUUGUCCGGAAUUAUUGGGCGUAAAGAGCUCGUAGGCGGCUUGUCGCGUCUGCUGUGAAAACCCGAGGCUCAACCUCGGGCCUGCAGUGGGUACGGGCAAGCUAGAGUGCGGUAGGGGAGAUUGGAAUUCCUGGUGUAGCGGUGGAAUGCGCAGAUAUCAGGAGGAACACCGAUGGCGAAGGCAGAUCUCUGGGCCGUAACUGACGCUGAGGAGCGAAAGCAUGGGGAGCGAACAGGAUUAGAUACCCUGGUAGUCCAUGCCGUAAACGUUGGGAACUAGAUGUAGGGCCUGUUCCACGGGUUCUGUGUCGUAGCUAACGCA
This 756-nucleotide ribosomal RNA is filed under the name Leucobacter sp. RNAcentral describes it as "bacterial SSU rRNA". It matches the Rfam family "Bacterial small subunit ribosomal RNA", at positions 95 to 859 of the family's 1533-position model. Lineage: Bacteria; Bacillati; Actinomycetota; Actinomycetes; Micrococcales; Microbacteriaceae. The record is from RNAcentral.